Molecule: non-coding RNA, 408 nt
Organism: Drosophila melanogaster (fruit fly)
Lineage: Eukaryota; Metazoa; Arthropoda; Insecta; Diptera; Drosophilidae
Source: Ensembl
AUACCACGACGCAUCCGCAUCCCAAUCCGCAUCCUGCUCCCUUAUUUUUCGGAUUUGGAUUUGCCACGGCCUUGCAGUGUCACAAUGGCACGGCUGGCGGCAAGUGCAAGAAUUCCCAGCCCAGAAUCCAGUCCGGCACCGGCUAUAGCCUCGACAUAGCUACGCACUUUGCCGGCUCAACCCCCUGGCUCAUUUGGCAUCCCUUUUCGAGUUCCUGGUGCGUCCUGGUGGUUGCUCGGCAAGUGCAACAUCAUGUCCUCGCAAUCACCAGAGCACUAAGCCAAGCUAAGCGGCCUGUAGCAAGUGUGCGUAUUCCUGUGCCCGAAAAAUACCCCCUCCCACAUCCUCACCCGUCGACGAGUCCUUUCUUUUUUUGGCUUUUGGGCUACGCACAAGGAAAAUGUUUUU